CCAAUCUCAGUUCGGAUUGUAGGCUGCAACUCGCCUACAUGAAGUUGGAAUCGCUAGUAAUCGCGAAUCAGAAUGUCGCGGUGAAUACGUUCCCGGGUCUUGUACACACCGCCCGUCACACCACGAGAGUUUACAACACCCGAAGUCAGUGGCCUAACCGCAAGGAGGGAGCUGCCUAAGGUGGGGUAGAUGAUUGGGGUGAAGUCGUAACAAGGUAAC
This 219-nucleotide ribosomal RNA is filed under the name uncultured bacterium. Its description in RNAcentral is "partial 16S ribosomal RNA". It matches the Rfam family "Bacterial small subunit ribosomal RNA", at positions 1282 to 1500 of the family's 1533-position model. The record is from RNAcentral.